This is a long non-coding RNA of Leopardus geoffroyi (Geoffroy's cat), 2719 nucleotides long. RefSeq lists it as uncharacterized. The record is from RefSeq and is a predicted model, not a curated record. The transcript is spliced from 2 exons. Lineage: Eukaryota; Metazoa; Chordata; Mammalia; Carnivora; Felidae.
AGCUGUCAGCACAGAGCCCGACACGGGGCUCAAACCCACAAACUGUGAGAUCAUGACCUGAGCCAAAGUCAGACGCUUAACCGACUGAGCCCCCAGCCUCCCCAAUUUUGGUUAACAAGCAGGUAACAUCUGCUUGUUAAAAACCACCAACUUUUAAGGUAAGUAAAAAUCCCCUUCUUCCAAGGUCAUUCCUUUGCGUAGCCCGAUAUGCCAUACUUUUUUCUGCAUAUAUCUCAUUAUUUACACAUGCGUUCUAAAGCGCUAUCAUUUGAUAUUUAAAAUGUUCUCAUUCUCUUAAACACGGUUCAGGAGUAUCCUUUUCCUUUGGAAUCAUCACUAUGUUCCAGACACUGCAGGUGUCGUAAGUAUGAUCUCAUAAGUCCUCAAGUUGGAAAGAACUCCGAGCAGAACCCCAUCUGUAGAAUGAGAAGCCAAUGCCCACCUCACAGAGUUUUGGGGAUCGAGCAAGACAUUGCCUACGGGGCACGCAGGGCUAGCACAAAGGCAGGGGAGGUGAGGAUGUUCCUGCCUCGUUGGGACACCCAGAGAGGCAGCUUUGCCUGGGCCCCUUUGGAAAACUGCCUCUGCAUAUGGAGGCAAGGAGGCGGUGUCUGAGACUGUGGACUCGCAUCUGUAGCGGGAAGAGAAGUGUGAGGAUGACGGUGUUCAAGGUACGACCCUUGUCAUCUUUUCUUUGUUGUGUGUGCAUGCAUGUUGGGGGCAGGGCUCUGAUUACUGGUUGCUCGCAGUUUCCCUUACUUUCCUCAGAACUCUCCUGAUUCAUUAGAUUAGCAUGAGUAACUGAAGCUGGCAGGAUAGUUCCUUAAUUGGUUGGAGGUUAAUAUUUUGAACUCCACCGUCAAGGCGGUGGGUCUUGGGUUCUGGAGGCCCGGGCAGCCCCCAUCGCGCACGUUGGACCCACACUAUCAAACUCAUUGCCACCCUCCACCUCUCUCUGUGCCCCGCCAGCGUUUGUGGGAGGGGAGUUCGUGGUAGGAACCAGAAAGAUCACGAGCUCUCUCCUAUCCUUUCAGUGUUAAAUUCUGUUUAGCGAAAAACAAACAAAAAGACUCAUUUAAUUUCCUAAUCCUUGUCCUUCCUCCUCCCUGUAACCCCCAACUUUGCUCCCAGUGCCAUCAGACUAUGCACUGCCUACCUCCCACCCCCCAUUGCAGACGCCUGCAGGCCCCCGGCCGCCCGCCCCCCAUUCCUUCACCAUAUUAGCUCCUGGCUCACCGUCACCUCUCCAGUACCGCUCUGGUCGGGGUUCAGUACAGACAAGCCUCACAGUACCGCGGGGCUCUCAGGUCACUGACCAGCCUGGCUGCGAUGUGCUGAUCCCGUACUCCGUCUCGGCCUCCUGCUCCCGCAGUCACACCUUAGCCAUGGUCAUCAUCAGUAGCCACACCCCAGUAGGCAACACGGUCUUCAUAUCUACACCUCUCAUUUUCCAACCGUGGCCCCCUGCCCUUCCGUCCCUCCCCCUCCAGUGCCCACCCCCUCAGCGGUUCUUCAGCCUCGCCGGGCCUAGAGUUCGUGGCCCCUACCACCUUUUCACUGCCCCUCCCCUCCCCGGAGAUUCUCUGCUCCUCAUCCGCCAUGCCCCUGGAUUUAGUCCCACUCUGUGCCUGGAAUGCCUGCACACGGCUGGAUACAAGCAUGUGGACUGACAAAGCUUUGGUUCAUGAGUGCCGGGCUCCAGUAAGUUCCUAACGCUGCCCAGCAACCCCGCACGUCCCUGGUUCCUUCGUCCUCCAGUGGACAUUCUCCUUGACCCUCGACCCUCGACCCUGACCCCUCCUCUCCUCUUGAGGGCUGCUCCUGUUGUUUCCUGUUUCACUGAGAAAACAGGCCAUCGGCGGGUGGCUUGCUCCUGCUCCCACUACCGUGUCUCCCUGCUUGUGACGGUGGUGAGCCAGCAGCAGUGCCCCUUUCCAAGUCUGUCCUCCAUCUGGGCAUCCUCCCCGCCCCCGCCCCCGCCCCCGCCCCCAAGCACCACCACAGUGCUGUCCUCGCCCCUCCUCCGGGUCAUUCCCACCGGCAUGUGAACAUGCUGGGGUGACUCCCAUCUUCCUGUUAACACAAACCCUUGACAGAGUUCUGCACACCCUCCUUUUUUCCACUUCUCAGCUUCUCUUGAACUCUCUCUGGUUGGGCUUCUGUCCCCCUCGGUCUAGUGACACGGCGCCGGGCAGGGUCACCAGUGGUUCCCCUGUUUCCAGAGGAAUGUGCUUCUCCAUGUUUGAGUCCACCUGUCAGGGACAUUUGACACAAAAGCAACGGACACCUUCCUUUUGCAAACCCCUGCUUCUUGUGGCUUCCUCGUGCUCCACUGGCCACUCAACCUCAUUUCCUCCGCCCAUCCUUAUCUCCUCCAAUACUGGAACGCCCAGUCCCCCUGGCUUCUCUAACUGCAUCUACCUCCGUGAUGAGCUCGGCCAUCUCACAGCUUUCAACACCAACUACAUGCUGCCAACUCCUCAUUUUACCCCACAGCCCAGAUCUUCCCCCGAGCCCCACACUCGUACCUCUAACUGGCCACUCUAUAUCUCCAUUAAGGUGGCGAAUGAGCUAACAGACAUCUCAGACUUUAACAUGUCAGAGAACAAGCUUCUGAGCUCUCUCCCGUCCCCUGGUCGCCCCUCAGUCUUCCCCACCGAAGGAAAGAACCCUCGUCCAUUUGUGUAGACCCAGAACUUUGGAGACAUUUUUCUUUUUC